Molecule: ribosomal RNA, 468 nt
Filed under: uncultured bacterium
Lineage: Bacteria
Description: partial 16S ribosomal RNA
Rfam family: Bacterial small subunit ribosomal RNA
Source: RNAcentral
GACGAACGCUGGCGGCGUGCUUAACACAUGCAAGUCGAACGGAAAGGCCCUGCUUUUGUGGGGUGCUCGAGUGGCGAACGGGUGAGUAACCCGUGAGUAACCUGCCCUUGACUUUGGGAUAACUUCAGGAAACUGGGGCUAAUACCGGAUAGGAGCUCCUGCUGCAUGGUGGGGGUUGGAAAGUUUCGGCGGUUGGGGAUGGACUCGCGGCUUAUCAGCUUGUUGGUGGGGUAGUGGCUUACCAAGGCUUUGACGGGUAGCCGGCCUGAGAGGGUGACCGGCCACAUUGGGACUGAGAUACGGCCCAGACUCCUAAGGGAGGCAGCAGUGGGGAAUAUUGCACAAUGGGCGGAAGCCUGAUGCAGCAACGCCGCGUGCGGGAUGACGGCCUUCGGGUUGUAAACCGCUUUCGCCUGUGACGAAGCGUGAGUGACGGUAAUGGGUAAAGAAGCACCGGCUAACUACGUG